This 429-nucleotide ribosomal RNA is filed under the name Actinomycetes bacterium. RNAcentral describes it as "Actinobacteria bacterium partial 16S ribosomal RNA". It matches the Rfam family "Bacterial small subunit ribosomal RNA", at positions 355 to 776 of the family's 1533-position model. The record is from RNAcentral. Lineage: Bacteria; Bacillati; Actinomycetota; Actinomycetes.
UAGGGAAUCUUCCGCAAUGGGCGAAAGCCUGACGGAGCAACGCCGCGUGAGUGAUGAAGGUCUUCGGAUCGUAAAACUCUGUUAUUAGGGAAGAACAAAUGUGUAAGUAACUAUGCACGUCUUGACGGUACCUAAUCAGAAAGCCACGGCUAACUACGUGCCAGCAGCCGCGGUAAUACGUAGGUGGCAAGCGUUAUCCGGAAUUAUUGGGCGUAAAGCGCGCGUAGGCGGUUUUUUAAGUCUGAUGUGAAAGCCCACGGCUCAACCGUGGAGGGUCAUUGGAAACUGGAAAACUUGAGUGCAGAAGAGUAAAGUGGAAUUCCAUGUGUGGCGGUGAAAUGCGCAGAGUUAUGGAGGAACACCAGUGGCGAAGGCGACUUUCUGGUCUGUAACUGACGCUGAUGUGCGAAAGCGUGGGGAUCAAACAGG